GGUGUGAGAAAAUAGCUAGUGCGGCGCAGCAGGCCCACACGCUGCUGUGGUGGCUACGUGGGUGAGGUGGGUGCAUAUGAAGGGGCAGGAACUGCAAAUAAUAAAGCAUGACGUGAAUUACACCAACGGCAAGCAUGCGCUUGCUAGGUAGCUAGCAGAGCAGCUGCUGCAGUUUCACUCACCGAAAGCCGGACCAGGCCGAACCUCGAUGUCUGCAAUGCGGAGUGUCUAUAGACAAUAAACGAAUUCACCGAUCGGUAAUUUUCUGUUGUCGUGACACAACAGAUGCCAG
Molecule: long non-coding RNA, 292 nt
Filed under: Volvox carteri
Lineage: Eukaryota; Viridiplantae; Chlorophyta; Chlorophyceae; Chlamydomonadales; Volvocaceae
Description: long non-coding RNA (VCAR_LNC003580)
Source: RNAcentral